Molecule: ribosomal RNA, 461 nt
Filed under: uncultured bacterium
Lineage: Bacteria
Description: bacterial SSU rRNA
Rfam family: Bacterial small subunit ribosomal RNA
Source: RNAcentral
AGAGUUUGAUCCUGGCUCAGAACGAACGCUGGCGGCAUGCCUAACACAUGCAAGUCGAACGGGAUCCUAGCUUGCUAGGUGAGAGCGGCGCACGGGUGAGUAACGCGUGGGAACCUGCCCAGAGGUUCGGGACAACCGCGGGAAACUGCGGCUAAUACCGGAUGAUACCUGAGGGUCAAAGAUUUAUCGCCUUUGGAGGGGCCCGCGUCGGAUUAGGUAGUUGGUGGGGUAACGGCUCACCAAGCCUAUGAUCCGUAACUGGUCUGAGAGGAUGACCAGUCACACUGGGACUGAGACACGGCCCAGACUCCUACGGGAGGCAGCAGUGGGGAGUAUUGGACAAUGGGGGCAACCCUGAUCCAGCAAUGCCGCGUGGGUGAUGAAGGCCUUCGGGUUGUAAAGCCCUUUCGGCGGGGACGAUGAUGACGGUACCCGCAGAAGAAGCCCCGGCUAACUUCGUG